GUUGUAUGGUUAAGUGACUAAGCGUACACGGUGGAUGCCUUGGCAGUCAGAGGCGAUGAAAGACGUAGUAACUUGCGAUAAGCCCAGAUUAGGUAGUAACAACCAUUUGAGUCUGGGAUUUCUGAAUGGGGAAACCCACUUACAUAAGUAAGUAUCAUUAAUUGAAUACAUAGGUUAAUGAGGCGAACCGGGGGAACUGAAACAUCUAAGUACCCCGAGGAAAAGAAAUCAACCGAGAUUCCGAAAGUAGCGGCGAGCGAAAUUGGACUAGCCCUUAAGCUUUACACGCGUUAGACGAACGGUCUGGAAAGUCCGACGAUACAGGGUGAUAGUCCCGUAGUUGACGACGUGUGUUCAGUGAAAUCGAGUAGGGCGGGACACGUGAUAUCCUGUCUGAAUAUGGGGGGACCAUCCUCCAAGGCUAAAUACUACUGACUGACCGAUAGUGAACCAGUACCGUGAGGGAAAGGCGAAAAGAACCCCUGUGAGGGGAGUGAAAUAGAACCUGAAACCGUGUACGUACAAGCAGUAGGAGCAGGCUUUGUCCUGUGACUGCGUACCUUUUGUAUAAUGGGUCAGCGACUUAUAUUCAGUGGCAAGGUUAACCAUCUAGGGGAGCCGUAGGGAAACCGAGUCUUAACUGGGCGUUCAGUCUCUGGAURUAGACCCGAAACCAGGUGAUCUAGCCAUGGGCAGGUUGAAGGUUGAGUAACAUCAACUGGAGGACCGAACCGACUAAUGUUGAAAAAUUAGCGGAUGACUUGUGGCUAGGGGUGAAAGGCCAAUCAAACCUGGAGAUAGCUGGUUCUCCCCGAAAGCUAUUUAGGUAGCGCCUCGGACGAAUACUACUGGGGGUAGAGCACUGUUAAGGCUAGGGGGUCAUCCCGACUUACCAACCCUUUGCAAACUCCGAAUACCAGUAAGUACUAUCCGGGAGACACACGGCGGGUGCUAACGUCCGUCGUGGAGAGGGAAACAACCCAGACCGCCAGCUAAGGUCCCAAAUUACUACUAAGUGGGAAACGAUGUGGGAAGGCUCAGACAGCCAGGAUGUUGGCUUAGAAGCAGCCAUCAUUUAAAGAAAGCGUAAUAGCUCACUGGUCGAGUCGGCCUGCGCGGAAGAUGUAACGGGGCUAAGUAGUAAACCGAAGCUGCGGCAAUGUGCUUUUGCACAUUGGGUAGGGGAGCGUUCUGUAAGCGGUUGAAGGUGUGUGGUAACGCAUGCUGGACGUAUCAGAAGUGCGAAUGCUGACAUGAGUAACGAUAAAGGGGGUGAAAAACCUCCUCGCCGGAAGACCAAGGGUUCCUGUCCAACGUUAAUCGGGGCAGGGUAAGUCGACCCCUAAGGCGAGGCCGAAAGGCGUAGUCGAUGGGAAACGGGUUAAUAUUCCCGUACUUCUUACAAUUGCGAUGGGGGGACGGAGAAGGCUAGGUGGGCCUGGCGACGGUUGUCCAGGUUCAAGUGCGUAGGCUUAAGAGUUAGGUAAAUCCGGCUCUUUUUAAGGCUGAGACACGACGUCGAGCACCUACGGGUGUGAAGUCAUUGAUGCCAUGCUUCCAGGAAAAGCCUCUAAGCUUCAGAUUGUAAGGAAUCGUACCCCAAACCGACACAGGUGGUCGGGUAGAGAAUACCAAGGCGCUUGAGAGAACUCGGGUGAAGGAACUAGGCAAAAUGGUACCGUAACUUCGGGAGAAGGUACGCUCUCGACGGUGAAGUCCCUCGCGGAUGGAGCUAUUGAGAGUCGCAGAUACCAGGUGGCUGCAACUGUUUAUUAAAAACACAGCACUGUGCAAAAUCGUAAGAUGACGUAUACGGUGUGACGCCUGCCCGGUGCCGGAAGGUUAAUUGAUGGGGUUAGACUUCGGUCGAAGCUCUUGAUCGAAGCCCCGGUAAACGGCGGCCGUAACUAUAACGGUCCUAAGGUAGCGAAAUUCCUUGUCGGGUAAGUUCCGACCUGCACGAAUGGCGUAAUGAUGGCCACGCUGUCUCCACCCGAGACUCAGUGAAAUUGAAAUCGCUGUGAAGAUGCAGUGUACCCGCGGCUAGACGGAAAGACCCCGUGAACCUUUACUACAGCUUGGCACUGAACAUUGACCCUACAUGUGUAGGAUAGGUGGGAGGCUUUGAAGCACGUACGCCAGUAUGUGUGGAGCCGUCCUUGAAAUACCACCCUUGUAGUGUUGAUGUUCUAACGUUGACCCCUUAUCGGGGUUGCGGACAGUGCCUGGUGGGUAGUUUGACUGGGGCGGUCUCCUCCCAAAGAGUAACGGAGGAGCACGAAGGUGGGCUAAUCACGGUUGGACAUCGUGAGGUUAGUGCAAUGGCAUAAGCCCGCUUGACUGCGAGAAUGACAAUUCGAGCAGGUGCGAAAGCAGGUCAUAGUGAUCCGGUGGUUCUGAAUGGAAGGGCCAUCGCUCAACGGAUAAAAGGUACUCCGGGGAUAACAGGCUGAUACCGCCCAAGAGUUCAUAUCGACGGCGGUGUUUGGCACCUCGAUGUCGGCUCAUCACAUCCUGGGGCUGAAGUCGGUCCCAAGGGUAUGGCUGUUCGCCAUUUAAAGUGGUACGCGAGCUGGGUUUAGAACGUCGUGAGACAGUUCGGUCCCUAUCUGCCGUGGGCGUUGGAAGAUUGAAGGGGGCUGCUCCUAGUACGAGAGGACCGGAGUGGACGAACCUCUGGUGUUCGGGUUGUGUCGCCAGACGCAUUGCCCGGUAGCUAAGUUCGGAAUCGAUAACCGCUGAAAGCAUCUAAGCGGGAAGCGAGCCCUGAGAUGAGUCUUCCCUGAUACUUUAAGUAUCCUAAAGGGUUGUCGGAGACUACGACGUUGAUAGGUCAGGUGUGUAAGUGCUGUGAGGCAUUGAGCUAACUGAUACUAAUUGCCCGUGAGGCUUAACCAUACAACACCCAAGGGGUUU
This 2916-nucleotide ribosomal RNA is filed under the name Vibrio parahaemolyticus. RNAcentral's name for it is "bacterial LSU rRNA". It matches the Rfam family "Bacterial large subunit ribosomal RNA". Lineage: Bacteria; Pseudomonadati; Pseudomonadota; Gammaproteobacteria; Vibrionales; Vibrionaceae. The record is from RNAcentral.